Molecule: ribosomal RNA, 253 nt
Filed under: uncultured bacterium
Lineage: Bacteria
Description: partial 16S ribosomal RNA
Rfam family: Bacterial small subunit ribosomal RNA
Source: RNAcentral
UACGAAGGGGGCUAGCGUUGUUCGGAAUUACUGGGCGUAAAGCGCACGUAGGCGGACUAUUAAGUCAGCGGUGAAAUCCCGGGGCUCAACCCCGGAACUGCCUUUGAUACUGGUAGUCUCGAGUCCGGAAGAGGUGAGUGGAAUUCCGAGUGUAGAGGUGAAAUUCGUAGAUAUUCGGAGGAACACCAGUGGCGAAGGCGGCUCACUGGUCCGGUACUGACGCUGAGGUGCGAAAGCGUGGGGAGCAAACAGG